This is a long non-coding RNA of Leopardus geoffroyi (Geoffroy's cat), 1930 nucleotides long. RefSeq lists it as uncharacterized. The transcript is spliced from 3 exons. Lineage: Eukaryota; Metazoa; Chordata; Mammalia; Carnivora; Felidae. The record is from RefSeq and is a predicted model, not a curated record.
CGGCGGGGGCGGUGGACUACGACUCCCAGGAAGCCUCGCGCGGGCGAGCCCCGAACCCGAGGACGCGGCGAGCGCGGCGCCCGGCCCUCUCCGGCAAGGACUGUCAAUGGAGGCGCGGGUGGUGGGAGCAAGAACAUGGCUGCACCUGGGGCCUGCGCGGCCGCCUGGGUGGGGGAGGGGAGCCGGGGCACGGGGGCGCAAAUCUAGGCCGGGGGUAGCCCCCGCCCCCUCACUGCCCCGAUGCAGCCGGCCUCAGCCACCGUCCAGGACUCGCACCCACUCUUGCACCCCAGAUUCCCUGCCGAUUGCGAGGCCGGAACUCGGCAGAGGCCGGGGAGCCCCAGCCGGCCUGCCGCUCUCGGUGCUCCGCCAAGGGACUUCCUCCGCGCUGCACCACCCUUCGGGACACAAAGAACUUCUGUUAGUUUUGAAAAGCUUGCCUCAAAAGCGUCCGAAAGAGACUGUUGCCCCAACUUUGGACGGGCGACGGGAGGGGACUCUCCUGUUUUUAUUUACCGCCCCUCACCCCAGGCUUGCUUUCCUCACGCCCCCUCACUCAACAUUUAGAAGGAAAGUUGAGGGAAAGCCACCGAGUGAGAGCAGAAAACCUGCCGUGUAGCCCGUUUUGUUCUGUCAACCGCGAAGAAAGGUUACCGAAACCUCUCCCCCCGCGACUAAUUCUUUUGCUUCUCAACUUGAGCUCUCGAAUUUCGAAAAGGAUGAGACAUUGCUGUUCACCUAAGCGAAACUUCAAAGUUUACCAAACUCGAGCCCCGAGGGCUUAGACAGUUCUGUAAAGCACAAGAUCGAGUGAUUUUGCGAUUUUUACACCCCAGCGGAGAUGGGGGGACCACGCCGGCCAUCCUCCCCCUCCCCCUCCUCCUCGGUAGGUGGCGACCACGGCGCUUUUUCCAGCCUUUGUCGCUGGAAAGAAAACUUUCCGAGCAGCCAGGCUUUUGAUGUAGGUCCAAGACCUUCCCUUUGACUCUUCGUUCCAGAUUGGCGUUCCCCAUCUUUCUUGCAAUAGACCGCACCCAUAAGGCAGCCGAAUCUAGAAUUUCCAUGCUGGGAUUCUUUAAGAUAGAGGGAGACUUUAAAGAUCCCUGCAGAAGCGGUCCGAUUGCAGAUUUCCACAUUUUUACGAUUUCCCCUGCAACGUUUUUACAGGCAUUUUGUCCCCGCCUAACCCGAUUGUGACUCUCCUUUGUCGAGUCUCUCCAAAAGCGUUCAUUUCGUUUUCAUGAAAAGUUUUCUUUUUGCACUCGUAUUUCAUUAACAUAUUGGACUAUUGAAUUCCGUAUUCCCAGUAGCACGUAAAACUGACAUCUAUGUAAGGAACAAACCAAAUUUUGAGAAAGUCUGCAAUUGAGCUGAUGGGAGCAGUCAGCCUUCCAGGGACAAACAUUCAGCCGCUGUGAGCACCGGGGGAAUCAUGCUGCUAUAUGUGAGCAGCCCCGUGGAGAGGCCCAGAUGCUGGGAAAGUGAAGCCAUUGGCCAACAGCCACGUGAGCGAGCUUGGGAACAGAUUCUCCUGCCCCGAUUCCAGGAGGUGUCUGCUACCCAACCAUGGCUGGAGUGCAAGCUCCUGGGAUGCUCACAGCCAGAAGCACUCCUCCAGCUGCUCCUGGAUUCCUGACCCUCAGAACCAAUACUAGACAGCAGGAGGCUCCGGGUCUUGGCAAAGCACGUAGCUGAUGCUUGUUUCGUGGCCAGAUGAGCCAACGAAUUGUCUCUCCCGUGGGCUCGCGUCCUUUUGGGAAGACACCAAAGUGGUCACUUCUACCUCCCUCCCCUGACAGCCAACCCAGGAGGCCGUGUCUCACAAACAUACUGAAGUCACACCAGGGAACUCCCCAACCACUGCAGUCCCUUCCCUGUUUGCAGAUUUUCUUCCAACUGUUCUCUUCCUUUGGAUCCAGGGAACCAAGGU